This 337-nucleotide unclassified non-coding RNA is filed under the name soil metagenome. RNAcentral describes it as "partial contains 5.8S ribosomal RNA, internal transcribed spacer 2, and large subunit ribosomal RNA". The stretch from base 1 to 120 matches the Rfam family "5.8S ribosomal RNA", at positions 35 to 154 of the family's 154-position model. The record is from RNAcentral.
GAUGAAGAACGUAGCGAAAUGCGAUAAGUAGUGUGAAUUGCAGAAUUCAGUGAAUCAUCGAAUCUUUGAACGCACAUUGCGCCCCUUGGUAUUCCAUGGGGAAUGCCUGUUCGAGCGUCAUUUGUACCUUCAAGCUCUGCUUGGUGUUGGGUGUUUGUCUCGCCUCUGCGUGUAGACUCGCCUCAAAACAAUUGGCAGCCGGCGUAUUGAUUUCGGAGCGCAGUACAUCUCGCGCUUUGCACUCAUAACGACGACGUCCAAAAGUACAUUUUUACACUCUUGACCUCGGAUCAGGUAGGGAUACCCGCUGAACUUAAGCAUAUCAAUAAGCGGAGGA